Sorghum bicolor (sorghum) is the source of this 591-nucleotide long non-coding RNA. RefSeq lists it as uncharacterized. The transcript is spliced from 2 exons. The record is from RefSeq and is a predicted model, not a curated record. Lineage: Eukaryota; Viridiplantae; Streptophyta; Magnoliopsida; Poales; Poaceae.
UCAAUAAUUAUCUCUAUGUACCUACGUAGCCUUGGAUUUUUUGGUUCAGAUGCAUUGUGGAGCACUUUUUUAUGCACUGUUAGAAUAAUUAUUUGCGCACAAUUCUUCUAUGCUUAGUUGUAUGGGUUUUAUCUGAUUUUUGGUUGCAGCCUUGGAUGAAUAGGUGGUUUGCAUGAAAUGAAAAGCUAUCAACGCAACUGGUGGUAAGUCCACCGCAUGAUGCAAUCCACGGCCGCGGUGCUGGUAUGAAGUAGCGGUGAUGGUUGGUGGCGUGUAGUUCACGGCAGCGGCGCUAGUGCGAAUCAGGGGUGGUGGUCGAUUGGAUGGAAGAUAGCACAGGAGCAGCGCGACACGGCCAAGGAUUUUUGCAUUUUAUUUGUUGAAUUUGGUGUUCUUAUGCUUGUGUGCAUAAGUUUGUAUACACACAAUGGAGCACUUCUAUGCAUUUUUGUAUUCUUAAUGCUUGUGAGCAUAAGUUUCUAUACAUUGUUGGAGCAGGUCUAUGUUGUUUUUAUGUGACAACAAAUUCACUUUUUAUUCAUCAAAUUACUAAAUUCUAUGUAAUGCCGGCACGAAAAAUAUUUAAGUGUA